UACGUAGGGUGCAAGCGUUAAUCGGAAUUACUGGGCGUAAAGCGUGCGCAGGCGGUUUUGUAAGACAGUGGUGAAAUCCCCGGGCUCAACCUGGGAACUGCCAUUGUGACUGCAAAGCUAGAGUGCGGCAGAGGGGGAUGGAAUUCCGCGUGUAGCAGUGAAAUGCGUAGAUAUGCGGAGGAACACCGAUGGCGAAGGCAAUCCCCUGGGCCUGCACUGACGCUCAUGCACGAAAGCGUGGGGAGCAAACAGGAUUAGAUACCCCCGUAGUCC
This 273-nucleotide ribosomal RNA is filed under the name uncultured Ramlibacter sp. RNAcentral describes it as "partial 16S ribosomal RNA". It matches the Rfam family "Bacterial small subunit ribosomal RNA", at positions 524 to 796 of the family's 1533-position model. Lineage: Bacteria; Pseudomonadati; Pseudomonadota; Betaproteobacteria; Burkholderiales; Comamonadaceae. The record is from RNAcentral.